Molecule: non-coding RNA, 1607 nt
Organism: Paramisgurnus dabryanus
Lineage: Eukaryota; Metazoa; Chordata; Actinopteri; Cypriniformes; Cobitidae
Source: RefSeq, a predicted model, not a curated record
GGCGUAGGAACCGGGGGGGACGUGUCCCCUCCAAUAUUGGAGACAGUUUCAUUUGUCCCCCCCCAAAAAUUAUUUGAAAAAUAUUUGAUUUUAAAAUCUUUAACUCGCGUGCUUUUAUUUUGAAAGCGCAACACAGCGUCUUUUCACCGGCCCGCCCCACCCCCUCAACGGCUAGUGGGGUCUGAAACUGACGACAGGUCGUCUGAGGUUAAUAUAAAGAGACAGCAGCAGCUCAGUUUAAAUGAUUUCUUUCUACUGGGGAAGAAAAGAAAGAAAGGAAAUAAAUACUCUUUAACCUGCCCACUGGAGCUUGGAAUGCAAUUUGGGACAUUCUUCCAGUUGUCGGCAACUUUGUGAAAAAGGCUAUGUAAGAAUUUAUAGUCAGCCUUGACAAAGAUUCCACUCCAAUUUAGCUGUUGAAUAAAGCUCAUCCCUCUAAAAGGCUUGAUAAUCAUAAAAGCUAGAAACUAAAAUGCAGAAUUCUGGCCUGGUGUUUGGUCUGUGCUGUCUUUGGCUCUUGCAUCUCCAUCAUCCUGACCCUCUUUAGCAGCCUGUCCAUGUAUUUAUUUGAAGGCCACCAUGAGCACCCAUCUGCAUAAUAUGACUUUGUUACUCAGAUGUCCAUGCGCUCCUACAAAUUCUACAUUUUUUGUAAAGCUGCAACAAGUUGAAACCCUAUAAUUAUUAACGUUUGAUUUUGAACUAUGUAAUUAAAAUACAUGAAUAAGUAACAAAAGCAGAAAUCUAUUAAGACAUUACCUUUUUGUUGCUUGUUUACUGAUCUAUCAAUCCUUUUGCAUUUUCAUAAUUGAUCAUCAUAACUUGGUAUACAGUGGAUGUGUGGCUGUAGAUAACUUCUGAAGUCAAUUUAAAAAGACAAAAGUUAAUAAAUGCUGAAUUGGUCAAAUAUACAUUGUUGUAUUUUCACCAUUUUGAUGUUUAGGCAUUUCAUAAAUUGAGGGUUAAUUCACGUAUACUGAUGUUUCAAAUCAAAGAUUAUUUAUUAAUGACAGCUAAUUAUUUUAUAAAGAUUUUUAUUACAAUAUUUAUUUGUAUAAUAUCAAUUUAAUACAUUUAAUUCGUUACACCUACAUCACUGAGCGCAAGGGAGUGCAGCCAACAAAUACAUUCAGGUGUGUUUGACUUAACACCGAGAUGCGCAGACAGCACGUGGUAUGACAUCAAAGUACCGCGAGAGUUUGGGAAAGCCCCUGAAAAGGUUUGAACUCGCGGUAUUUGAUGUCACGAUCGGUUUGCGCGUACAUCAGCAUGAAGUCAAACACAUCUGAGAGAUGUGUGGGCUGCCUGCACUCAACGUUGCGAUCUUGCGAUAAUUCAGUAGAGUGUAACCUCAGUCGUUUUUUGCAGCUUCUGGGUGUCGUGUCGAACGAUAGCAGAACGAUCUUUUGUUCUUUUCCAACUCGAUUUUUAACUCCCUAAACUAGUAGGAUGUUCCGACGGGUGAAGCAACAGUGCUGACGGCAGAGUUUCAGUGUCAAUUUUUCAUGCCAUGAUCACUGGGGCGGAAACCAUUAUGACGUUGCCUUGGACAUCAAACUAAACCAUCUCAUUCUGGCUUUUCUCUAACAUCGAAAUCUCAGAAGGAC